AGAACUUAGCAGAGAUGCUUUGGUGCCUUCGGGAACUCUGAGACAGGUGCUGCAUGGCUGUCGUCAGCUCGUGUUGUGAAAUGUUGGGUUAAGUCCCGCAACGAGCGCAACCCUUAUCCUUUGUUGCCAGCGAUUCGGUCGGGAACUCAAAGGAGACUGCCAGUGAUAAACUGGAGGAAGGUGGGGAUGACGUCAAGUCAUCAUGGCCCUUACGAGUAGGGCUACACACGUGCUACAAUGGCAUAUACAAAGAGAAGCGACCUCGCGAGAGCAAGCGGACCUCAUAAAGUAUGUCGUAGUCCGGAUUGGAGUCUGCAACUCGACUCCAUGAAGUCGGAAUCGCUAGUAAUCGUGGAUCAGAAUGCCACGGUGAAUACGUUCCCGGGCCUUGUACACACCGCCCGUCACACCAUGGGAGUGGGUUGCAAAAGAAGUAGGUAGCUUAACCUUCGGGAGGGCGCUUACCACUUUGUGAUUCAUGACUGGGGUGAAGUCGUAACAAGGUAAGCGUACUACA
Molecule: ribosomal RNA, 517 nt
Filed under: uncultured bacterium
Lineage: Bacteria
Description: bacterial SSU rRNA
Rfam family: Bacterial small subunit ribosomal RNA
Source: RNAcentral